Molecule: non-coding RNA, 341 nt
Organism: Biomphalaria pfeifferi
Lineage: Eukaryota; Metazoa; Mollusca; Gastropoda; Planorbidae
Source: the annotation of a GenBank genome assembly
UUUUAUUCAUUUUAAAAGACAUGUUCUUUGUAUAUAGUGCGAUCAACGCUAUAGUAGAGUGAUCUUGUGGUGACAUAGGAGUUUCAUAAGUGUGUACUCACAGUCUGUAGAAUGCUGUACCGGUAUUUAGGACAAGUUUUAUUGCAUCUUAGAAGUGGUCUUGUUUACAUUAACUGUUAAAAUGUGUUAUACUAAUAUUUGCAUUAUGCAUAUACAUUAUUGUACAUAUACCUUCAGGGUGGGUGAAGACUAUUCUCAACAACGGCUCUAACGAUUUUUUAAUAGAAAUUUUACAAUUGAUGUAUAUCGUUUGGAAAAAAAUGACUAGCCCUAUGGCCACA